Molecule: non-coding RNA, 61 nt
Organism: Mus musculus (house mouse)
Lineage: Eukaryota; Metazoa; Chordata; Mammalia; Rodentia; Muridae
Source: Rfam
GAACUGGCUCUAUUAACAGUAGUGCUGCAAGAGCCACAUUAUAUAACAUAUAAAUUUGUUU